Long non-coding RNA from Mastomys coucha (southern multimammate mouse), 261 nucleotides. RefSeq lists it as uncharacterized. The transcript has 2 exons. Lineage: Eukaryota; Metazoa; Chordata; Mammalia; Rodentia; Muridae. The record is from RefSeq and is a predicted model, not a curated record.
GUCAGUCAGUGCUUUGACCCUAGCAACUGAAACUGUGCGGAGCAUCCUGAAAAUUGAUGAUGUGGUAAAUACUCGAUAAUCUGGAUAAGGCUGGCUGACUGCACCAUUAUGGACAGAAGUACUGUGGCUGGAAUGGAGGAUGACUGCCUCGUUCCUUGUCUAGAAGCUUGCUGCUUAAGAGUUUUUGGACAUUGUCUUCCAGUUGGCAUCUGUUUGAAAUUGUAUUGAAACAAUUUAAUAAAAACUUGGUUUUAAACUCCA